UUGCCAGCAGCCGCGGUAAUUCCAGCUCCAAUAGCGUAUAUUAAAGUUGUUGCAGUUAAAACGUCCGUAGUCAAACUUUAGUUUUACUGGCGUAGUGGCUUGGUCUUCACUGACCAAGCUCAUUGCUGCCGGAGACUCCAUGUUCAUUAGGGGAAAAUCUCUAGGGGUUUUUUUCUUAUUUGAACAAUUACCAUGAGCAAAUCAGAGUGUUUAAAGCAGGCUUUUAAGCUUGAAUGUGUUAGCAUGGAAUAAUGAAAUAUGACUUUAGUCCUAUUUUCGUUGGUUUAGGUACUUCAGUAAUGAUGAAUAGAAACGGUUAGGGGCAUUUGUAUUUGGUCGCUAGAGGUGAAAUUCUUGGAUUGACCGAAGACAAACUACUGCGAAAGCAUUUGACCCGGGACGUUUUCAUUGAUCAAGGUCUAAAGUUAAGGGAUCGAAGACGAUUAGAUACCGUCGUAGUCUUAACCACAAACUAUGCCGACUAGAGAUUGGGCGUGUUUAUUAUGACUCGCUCAGCAUCUUAGCGAAAGUAAAGUUUUUGGGUUCUGGGGGGAGUAUGGGACGCAAGGCUGAAACUUAAAGGAAUUGACGGAAGGGCACCACCAGGAGUGGAGCCUGCGGCUUAAUUUGACUCAACACGGGGAAACUCACCAGGUCCAGACAUAGUAAGGAUUGACAGAUUGAAAGCUCUUUCUAGGUUCUAUGGGUGGUGGUGCAUGGCCGUUCUUAGUUCGUGAGUGAUUUGUCUGGUUAAUUCCGAUAACGAACGAGACCUUAUUCUGCUAAUUAGACAGGCCAACUCUUUCGGGUUGGUCUAAUAUGAUAUAUUUCACUG
This 835-nucleotide ribosomal RNA is filed under the name uncultured fungus. RNAcentral's name for it is "SSU rRNA". It matches the Rfam family "Eukaryotic small subunit ribosomal RNA", at positions 564 to 1403 of the family's 1831-position model. Lineage: Eukaryota; Fungi. The record is from RNAcentral.